This 2115-nucleotide long non-coding RNA is filed under the name Anolis carolinensis (green anole). RNAcentral describes it as "lncRNA (ENSACAG00000035460.1)". Lineage: Eukaryota; Metazoa; Chordata; Lepidosauria; Squamata; Anolidae. The record is from RNAcentral.
GGCCUGUGGAUUGAAGGAGAAAAGCAGAUAGGUGAAGACAACCUAUGAAGAACACACACUUGUUAUUGUGCGCCUUAUUGUGCGACUAAUGGCGAACCAAUUGUAGGGUUUCCUUGGCAAGAUUCAGGGGAAGGGGUGUUCGCAUGUCUCUUGGUCUGAAUGGGGUUGCCUCACCAUAAUCCAUGGAUGGUCCAGCUGUUGGCAUUCUUGGGCAGGACACACUCAAACCUGGUGGCCAGAGCCUCCAAAUAAGACACAAAAGGAAGAUAACAUUAAUUUAGAGGAAGCAGGAGUAUAUUUAUUUAUCUAAUUGACAUAAACCAUGUGUAUCCCCUCUAUGCUUCAGCUCAGUCCAAAACCAUUUUAUCAAUCAGUAAUCCCUAGAGUUCCAAUAGAUGUGUUUGAAGAAAUAACUUAUAAUAAUAAUAAUAAUAAUAAUAAUAAUAAUAAUAAUAAUAAUAAUAAAACUUUAUUUAUAUCCCGCCACCAUCUCCCCAACGGGGACUCGGGGCGGCUUACAUGGGGCCAUGCCCAAAACAAUACAAUGUAAACAGCAUAUAAAAAAAGCACAGCACAAAACAAUAAGCAAUACAGUAAAUAAUAUCCAUUACAAAAUAAAACAAGGAGACAAUGAAAACAAGGGCAGACCACAUGAACAUUAAGUUAAAACUCGGGGUGAGAAAGACAUAAAAAUAAAAACCACAGCGAACAGGGUCAUAAGGGAGUGGGGUAUUCUGGAGGAUAGAUAUUAGAGGGAGCAACGGAAAAGAAAUAUAAAAUGGUUACUCUCCAAAAGCACAGCGAAAGAGCCAUGUUUUCAAGUCUUUCUUGAAGGCUGCUAGUGUGGGGGCUUGCCUAAUCUCAGCGGGCAGAGAAUUCCACAAUCGGGGGGCCACAGCAGAAAAGGCCCACCACACUUUGGACUACAAGGAACAAUGCCCCAGAAUCACCAUAAUCAGCUAGUAAUGCCUUCACAGACUUAAAAAUGGACCAAACCAGAAGUGACAGAAGAUGCCCAAUGUCCUCUUUUGUCCUCUUCCUGGGAACCCAUUCAGGUUGACUAACACUCAUUUCUAUGCAUUGUUUCACAAGUAUGGACCAUUGUCCUCACACAUGCCGGGGAAACUACCAUAAUUAGCAUCUAUUACCUCAAACCCACCCACAUUAUUUCCUUCCCAAACUUCAUGAGAGGUGGAACCAGCCACAGCCAGAAAACUUCAAACUGAGCAAUGACAAUCCCACCUUGCCUCUGAUGGGCCCAGAGGCGGAAGCAGACUCACACCUCCUCCAAUACGGCUACGGAUCCUAGCCUACAACUCCCAAGACCAAUGGGAAGCCAGCACGGUGAUUUUAAAUUGUUAUGUAUGGCUGUAAAUAAUGCAUGUCUUCCCAGUUGGGUAUGUCAGUACUUUGAGCACUAGCUUUGCUGAUAUCCUCUUUGGCCAUUGAGAACUCUGCUUUUGACUUCACGACUGUCUGUGCUUCUUGCAACCUUCUGGCUACUUAGCACUCUAAGAUCACAAACCUCACAAUUCAGGGGAGCUGAAAUCACACAACAGAACCAUCAAGGAGUCUUGCAGCAUAUUAAAUAUUUAUUUGAAUUGACUUAUAAAGCAAGGGAAACAAAUUACUUUACCAUUACAUAGCAAUCAUUAUCUGUGUUGAAAUGAGUUGUGAGUUUCUGAGUACUCUGUGUUGCUUUAAAGAAAGCAACUCUACUCCAUCUAAGGCCCCUUCUACACUGCUGUAGAAAAUCUAGAUUAUCUGCUCUGAACUAAAUUAUAUGGCAGUGUAGACUCAUAUGAUCCAGUCCAAAUCAGGUAAUGUGGAUUAUCUGCUUUGAUAAUCUGGAUUAUAAGGCAAUGUAUAAGGAAAUAACGUACACUAUAAAAAAAACAAAGAGAAAGGGGGGAAACAUAUGUUGAACAGUUAAAUCUGUAACUAAGGCCCCCUUCUACACUGCCCUGUAUCCCAGCAUCUGAUCCCAGAUUAUCUGGCAGUGGAGACUCAUAUAAUCCAGUUCAAAACAGAUAAUCUGGGAUUAGAUCCUGGGAUAUAGGGCAAUGUAGAAGUGGCCUUAGAGAAUUGACAGACAUUUGGCCAUGAGGGUUAGCU